RNAcentral lists this ribosomal RNA (460 nucleotides) under uncultured bacterium. Its description in RNAcentral is "partial 16S ribosomal RNA". It matches the Rfam family "Bacterial small subunit ribosomal RNA", at positions 338 to 795 of the family's 1533-position model. The record is from RNAcentral.
CCUACGGGUGGCUGCAGUGAGGAAUAUUGGUCAAUGGACGAGAGUCUGAACCAGCCAAGUAGCGUGAAGGAUGACUGCCCUAUGGGUUGUAAACUUCUUUUAUAAAGGAAUAAAACGCGGCACGUGUGCCUUUUUGCAUGUACUUUAUGAAUAAGGAUCGGCUAACUCCGUGCCAGCAGCCGCGGUAAUACGGAGGAUCCGAGCGUUAUCCGGAUUUAUUGGGUUUAAAGGGAGCGUAGAUGGGUUGUUAAGUCAGUUGUGAAAGGUUGCGGCUCAACCGUGAAAUUGCAGUUGAUACUGGCAGGCUUGAGUGCAGUUGAGGUAGGCGGAAUUCGUGGUGUAGCGGUGAAAUGCUUAGAUAUCACGAAGAACCCCGAUUGCGAAGGCAGCUUACUAAACUGUGACUGACAUUGAUGCUCGAAAGUGUGGGUAUCAAACAGGAUUAGAUACCCGGGUAGUC